This 69-nucleotide transfer RNA is filed under the name Liobagrus marginatoides. Its description in RNAcentral is "tRNA-Phe". Lineage: Eukaryota; Metazoa; Chordata; Actinopteri; Siluriformes; Amblycipitidae. The record is from RNAcentral.
GCGGGGGUACCUUAACCCAAACCAUAACCCUGAAAAUGUUAAAACAAACCCUAAAAAUUCCGGCAGGCA